RNAcentral lists this ribosomal RNA (250 nucleotides) under uncultured bacterium. Its description in RNAcentral is "partial 16S ribosomal RNA". It matches the Rfam family "Bacterial small subunit ribosomal RNA", at positions 524 to 773 of the family's 1533-position model. The record is from RNAcentral.
UACAGAGACGGCGAGCGUUGUUCGGAUUCAUUGGGCGUAAAGGGUUCGCAGGCGGCGAAGUAAGUCUGAUGUGAAAUCCCGCGGCUUAACCGCGGAACUGCAUCGGAAACUGCUUUGCUCGAGGAUGGUAGAGGAGACUGGAAUUCACGGUGUAGCGGUGAAAUGCGUAGAUAUCGUGAGGAACACCGGUGGCGAAGGCGAGUCUCUGGGCCAUUCCUGACGCUCAGGAACGAAAGCGUGGGGAGCAAAC